AACGAACGCUGGCGGCAUGCCUAACACAUGCAAGUCGAACGAGACCUUCGGGUCUAGUGGCGCACGGGUGCGUAACGCGUGGGAACCUGCCUUUAGGUUCGGAAUAACUCAGAGAAAUUUGAGCUAAUACAGGAUGAUGUCUUCGGACCAAAGAUUUCUCGCCUUUAGAUGGGCCCGCGUUGGAUUAGCUAGUUGGUGGGGUAAAGGCCUACCAAGGCGACGAUACAUAGCUGGUCUGGGAGGAUGAUCAGCCACACUGGGACUGAGACACGGCCCAGACCCCGACGGGAGGCAGCAGUAGGGAAUAUUGGGCAAUGGGCGAAAGCCUAAUCCAGCAAUGCCGCGUGAGUGAUGAAGGCCUUAGUGUUGUAAAGCUCUUUUACCCGAGAUGAUAAUGACAGUAACGGGAGAAUAAGCUCCGGCUAACUCCGUG
RNAcentral lists this ribosomal RNA (433 nucleotides) under uncultured bacterium. RNAcentral describes it as "partial 16S ribosomal RNA". It matches the Rfam family "Bacterial small subunit ribosomal RNA", at positions 29 to 507 of the family's 1533-position model. The record is from RNAcentral.